Molecule: ribosomal RNA, 253 nt
Filed under: uncultured bacterium
Lineage: Bacteria
Description: partial 16S ribosomal RNA
Rfam family: Bacterial small subunit ribosomal RNA
Source: RNAcentral
UACGAAGGGGGCUAGCGUUGUUCGGAAUUACUGGGCGUAAAGAGCGCGCAGGCGGUCGUUCAAGUCGCGUGUGAAAGCCCCCGGCUCAACUGGGGAGGGUCACGCGAUACUGAUCGACUCGAAGGCAGGAGAGGGAAGUGGAAUUCCCGGUGUAGUGGUGAAAUGCGUAGAUAUCGGGAGGAACACCAGUGGCGAAGGCGACUUCCUGGCCUGUUCUUGACGCUGAGGCGCGAAAGCUAGGGGAGCAAACGGG